UGGCGGCAUGCUUUACACAUGCAAGUCGAACGGGGUUGGGAGCUUGCUUCCAAUCUAGUGGCGAACGGGUGAGUAAUACAUCGGAACGUACCGUGUAGUGGGGGAUAACGUAGCGAAAGUUACGCUAAUACCGCAUACGAUCCACGGAUGAAAGCAGGGGACCUUCGGGCCUUGUGCUAUACGAGCGGCCGAUGUCUGAUUAGCUAGUUGGUGAGGUAAAGGCUCACCAAGGCGACGAUCAGUAGCGGGUCUGAGAGGAUGAUCCGCCACACUGGGACUGAGACACGGCCCAGACUCCUACGGGAGGCAGCAGUGGGGAAUUUUGGACAAUGGGCGCAAGCCUGAUCCAGCCAUGCCGCGUGUCUGAAGAAGGCCUUCGGGUUGUAAAGGACUUUUGUCAGGGAGCAAAACUUACUGGUUAAUACCUGGUGAGGUUGAGAGUACCUGAAGAAUAAGCACCGGCUAACUACGUGCCAGCAGCCGCGGUAAUACGUAGGGUGCAAGCGUUAAUCGGAAUUACUGGGC
RNAcentral lists this ribosomal RNA (525 nucleotides) under uncultured bacterium. Its description in RNAcentral is "bacterial SSU rRNA". It matches the Rfam family "Bacterial small subunit ribosomal RNA", at positions 37 to 559 of the family's 1533-position model. The record is from RNAcentral.